CUACGGGGGGCUCCAGUGGGGAAUAUUGGACAAUGGGGGAAACCCUGAUCCAGCAAUGCCGCGUGUGUGAAGAAGGCCUGCGGGUUGUAAAGCACUUUCGGUUGGGAGGACUGCUUCUAGCACUAAUAUUGUUGGAAGUUGACGUUACCUUCAGAAGAAGCACCGGCUAACUCCGUGCCAGCAGCCGCGGUAAUACGGAGGGUGCAGGCGGUAAUCGGAAUUACUGGGCGUAAAGCGCGCGUAGGCGGCUAGAUCAGUCGGGUGUGAAAGCCCCGGGCUUAACCUGGGAACUGCAUCCGAUACUGUCUAGCUUGAGUACAGGAGAGGAGAGUGGAAUUCCACAUGUAGCGGUGAAAUGCGUAGAUAUGUGGAGGAACACCAAUGGCGAAGGCAGCUCUCUGGCCUGAUACUGACGCUGAGGUGCGAAAGCGUGGGGAGCAAACAGGAUUAGAUACCCGUGUAGUC
This 465-nucleotide ribosomal RNA is filed under the name uncultured bacterium. RNAcentral describes it as "partial 16S ribosomal RNA". It matches the Rfam family "Bacterial small subunit ribosomal RNA", at positions 339 to 795 of the family's 1533-position model. The record is from RNAcentral.